GAUGAAGAACGCAGCGAGAUGCGAUAAUUAAUGUGAAUUGCAGAAUUCAGUGAAUCAUCGAGUCUUUGAACGCACAUUGCGCCCCCUGGUAUUCCGGGGGGCAUGCCUGUCCGAGCGUCAUUGCUGCCCUCAAGCCCGGCUUGUGUGUUGGGCCUUGCUCCCCCGGGGGCAGGCCCGAAAGGCAGUGGCGGCACCGCGUCCGAUCCUCGAGCGUAUGGGGCUUUGUCACCCGCUCUGUAGGCCCGGCCGGCGCUUGCCGACCCCAAUCAAUCUUUUUUCAGGUUGACCUCGGAUCAGGUAGGGAUACCCGCUGAACUUAAGCAUAUCAAUAAGCGGAGGA
RNAcentral lists this unclassified non-coding RNA (340 nucleotides) under soil metagenome. RNAcentral describes it as "partial contains 5.8S ribosomal RNA, internal transcribed spacer 2, and large subunit ribosomal RNA". The stretch from base 1 to 120 matches the Rfam family "5.8S ribosomal RNA", at positions 35 to 154 of the family's 154-position model. The record is from RNAcentral.